UGAAUACGAGACGCUACGGCGUCGAAGCAGUCUAUGUCAUACUUCCAAGAAAAGCUUGCACUGUCAUAAACAAAUAAUGCCUGUACCAUAACCGACACAGGUGGGUAGGUAGAGUAUACUAAGGGGCGCGAGAUAACUCUCUCUAAGGAACUCGGCAAAAUGACUCCGUAACUUCGGGAGAAGGAGUGCCUUAUUUAUAAGGUUGCAAUAACAAGAUCCAAGCAACUGUUUAUCAAAAACACAGGUCUCCGCUAAGUCGUAAGACGAUGUAUGGGGGCUGACGCCUGCCCAGUGCCAGAAGGUUAAAGAAGUUGGUUAGCAUUAGCGAAGCUGAUAACUGAAGCCCUGGUGAACGGCGGCCGUAACUAUAACGGUCCUAAGGUAGCGAAAUUCCUUGUCGGGUAAGUUCCGACCCGCACGAAAGGCGUAAUGAUUUGGAUACUGUCUCGGAGAGGGGCUCGGUGAAAUAGACUUGUCUGUGGAGAUGCGGACUACCUGCACCUGGACAGAAAGACCCUAUGAAGCUUUACUGUAACCUGAAAUUGAAAUUGGACUUUAUUUGCGCAGUAUAGGUGGGAGGCGUUGAGAAUAUUCUUGCGGGAAUAUUGGAGCCAUCAGUGAGAUACCACUCUUGUAAUGUUAGAUUUCUAACUUUGAAUCAUUAUCUGGUCAAAGAACAGUUUCAGGCGGGCAGUUUGACUGGGGCGGUCGCCUCCUAAAUGGUAACGGAGGCGCACAAAGGUUUCCUCUGAACGGGUAGAAAUCGUAUCUAGAGUGUAAAGGCAUAAGGAAGCUUGACUGUGAGACCUACAAGUCGAGCAGGGACGAAAGUCGGUCUUAGUGAUCUGACGGUGCUGAGUGGAAAGGCCGUCACUCAACGGAUAAAAGUUACUCUAGGAUAACAGGCUGAUCUCCCCCAAGAGUUCACAUCGACGGGGAGGUUUGGCACCUCGAUGUCGGCUCAUCGCAUCCUGGGGCGGUAGUACGUCCCAAGGGUUGGGCUGUUCGCCCAUGAAAGCGGUACGCGAGCUGGGUUCAGAACGUCGUGAGACAGUUCGGUUCAUAUCCGGUGUAGGCGUUAGAAUAUUGAGAGGAGCCUUCUUUAGUACGAGAGGACCGAGAAGGACAUACCUCUGGUGUACCAGUUAUCGUGCCAACGGUAAACGCUGGGUAGCUAUGUAUGGAGAGGAUAACCGCUGAAAGCAUCUAAGUGGGAAGCCCACCUCAAGAUAAGUAUUCUCACC
RNAcentral lists this ribosomal RNA (1244 nucleotides) under metagenome. Its description in RNAcentral is "bacterial LSU rRNA". It matches the Rfam family "Bacterial large subunit ribosomal RNA", at positions 1564 to 2818 of the family's 2925-position model. The record is from RNAcentral.